GAUGAACGCUGGCGGCGUGCCUAAUACAUGCAAGUCGAGCGAACAGACGAGGAGCUUGCUCCUCUGACGUUAGCGGCGGACGGGUGAGUAACACGUGGAUAACCUACCUAUAAGACUGGGAUAACUUCGGGAAACCGGAGCUAAUACCGGAUAAUAUAUUGAACCGCAUGGUUCAAUAGUGAAAGACGGUUUUGCUGUCACUUAUAGAUGGAUCCGCGCCGCAUUAGCUAGUUGGUAAGGUAACGGCUUACCAAGGCGACGAUGCGUAGCCGACCUGAGAGGGUGAUCGGCCACACUGGAACUGAGACACGGUCCAGACUCCUACGGGAGGCAGCAGUAGGGAAUCUUCCGCAAUGGGCGAAAGCCUGACGGAGCAACGCCGCGUGAGUGAUGAAGGUCUUCGGAUCGUAAAACUCUGUUAUUAGGGAAGAACAAAUGUGUAAGUAACUAUGCACGUCUUGACGGUACCUAACCAGAAAGCCACGGCUAACUACGU
RNAcentral lists this ribosomal RNA (496 nucleotides) under uncultured bacterium. RNAcentral's name for it is "partial 16S ribosomal RNA". It matches the Rfam family "Bacterial small subunit ribosomal RNA", at positions 28 to 506 of the family's 1533-position model. The record is from RNAcentral.